This 255-nucleotide ribosomal RNA is filed under the name uncultured bacterium. RNAcentral's name for it is "partial 16S ribosomal RNA". It matches the Rfam family "Bacterial small subunit ribosomal RNA", at positions 524 to 778 of the family's 1533-position model. The record is from RNAcentral.
UACGAAGGGGACUAGCGUUGUUCGGAAUCACUGGGCGUAAAGCGCACGUAGGCGGAUGUGUCAGUCAGGGGUGAAAUCCCGGGGCUCAACCUCGGAACUGCCUUUGAUACAGCACGUCUCGAGUCCGGAAGAGGUGGGUGGAAUUCCUAGUGUAGAGGUGAAAUUCGUAGAUAUUAGGAAGAACACCGGUGGCGAAGGCGGCCCACUGGUCCGGUACUGACGCUGAGGCGCGAAAGCGUGGGGAGCAAACAGGAU